GAUCCUGGCUCAGAACGAACACUGGCGGCAGGCUUAACACAUGCAAGUUGAACGGGAUUUGUGUGGUGCUUGCACCAUAUAAUGAGAGUAGCGCACUGGUGAGUAACACGUGGGAACGUGCCUUUUAGUGGGGGAUAACAUCUGGAGACGGAUGCUAAUACCGCAUACGCCCUGAGGGGGAAAGAUUUAUUGCUAAGAGGUCGGCCCGCGGUAGAUUAGGCAGUUGGUGGGGUAAAGGCCUACC
This 244-nucleotide ribosomal RNA is filed under the name uncultured bacterium. RNAcentral describes it as "partial 16S ribosomal RNA". It matches the Rfam family "Bacterial small subunit ribosomal RNA", at positions 15 to 269 of the family's 1533-position model. The record is from RNAcentral.